RNAcentral lists this unclassified non-coding RNA (775 nucleotides) under uncultured Prochlorococcus sp. Its description in RNAcentral is "partial 16S-23S ribosomal RNA intergenic spacer; may also contain 16S ribosomal RNA and 23S ribosomal RNA". The stretch from base 1 to 93 matches the Rfam family "Bacterial small subunit ribosomal RNA", at positions 1441 to 1533 of the family's 1533-position model. Lineage: Bacteria; Bacillati; Cyanobacteriota; Cyanophyceae; Synechococcales; Prochlorococcaceae. The record is from RNAcentral.
UUGUGGAGGAGGACGCCGAAGGUGGGGCUGAUGACUGGGGUGAAGUCGUAACAAGGUAGCCGUACCGGAAGGUGCGGCUGGAUCACCUCCUAACAGGGAGACAACAAUCGAUUAUGAUGUCUAAUUUUCAAAAUUUAGGCCAUAGUCCUGUCACCUUAGGUCGAUCGGUACCUCUGAGUAAUAACUUAAAAAAAUGAGCAAUCACUUUAUAAAUAGUUUUUAUUUUCAGUUCCUAAACUUGUCUAGGUCACACCCAACAAACUUUCUCCUGGGCUAUUAGCUCAGGCGGUUAGAGCGCACCCCUGAUAAGGGUGAGGUCCCUGGUUCAAGUCCAGGAUGGCCCAUUCGUUGUUGGGGGUAUAGCUCAGUUGGUAGAGCGCCUGCUUUGCAAGCAGGAUGUCAGCGGUUCGAGUCCGCUUACCUCCACUGAUCAACUACCUGAUAACUCAAUUUGGAGAUUAUCGUUUGUUUAAUGUGAUUUAGAGUUGUUCAUCUGAAUGAACCUAGCUUCCUGUCAUCCCUUUUUUAUUUUAGGCCGAUAAGACGCUGGGCUCAACUAAUAUUCUUUUGAUUAUUAGUUUGAUUCAGCAGAACCUUGACAACUGCAUAAGAAAAGUCUGGAAAAAUAAAGCAUCUCAUAGAUGCAUUGAAAGCUAUUUAUUGAACUGUGCUUAAUAAAUAGCUUUCAAUGCUUAAUUCUUGAGUUAGAGCAUAUUUGCUAGAAGUUAUUUUAAUUGAAAUAACGUUUUAGUGAUUAUUAAUGGUCAAGCUACAA